UCCAGCCUGGGUGACAGAGUGAGACUCUGUCUGUCUGUCUGUCUCUCUCUCUCUCUCUCUCUCUCUCUCUCUCUCUCUCUCUCUCUCACGCAGACACACACACACACAGAAUGAAUGAAUGGGUGAUUUGUCGAGCCUUUCCAGGAUCACCGAUGGAAGUUAUAUGUGUUCCCUUCCAGGGCCAGGCACAGUGGUUUGCACCUGUCAUCCCAACACUUUGGGAGGUUUAGGUGGGAGGAUCGCUUGAAGCCUGGAGAUUGAAACCAGCCUGAGCACCAAAGCAAGAGUUCAUCUCUAACAACAACAACAACAAAAUUAGCCAGGUGUUGUGGUAGGCACCUGUAGUCCCAGCUACUUGGGAGGUUGAGAUGGGAGGAUCACUUGAAACUGGGCCACAGAGUGAGAUCCUGUCAAAAAAAAAAAAAAAAAAGAA
Gorilla gorilla gorilla (western lowland gorilla) is the source of this 433-nucleotide long non-coding RNA. RefSeq lists it as uncharacterized. The transcript has 2 exons. Lineage: Eukaryota; Metazoa; Chordata; Mammalia; Primates; Hominidae. The record is from RefSeq and is a predicted model, not a curated record.